GAAAAUGUCAAGUAUUAAUAUUACGACCACUAAAUCGGGUGCGACCAAAAGCCCCGUUUAACGGCAGUAUCGGGUAAAAUUCCACUGAGCCCCGACUGUGAAACCUAUAUAUGGGUGAGUGGAGUCCAUUGGAGACUUUUUACACUCUCUUUCUAAACUCUCUCUCUAGACCCGUUUUCGCCCCGAAUUCUUAACCAAACGCUUCCAAAUUGUAAGUCCGCUUACCCUAGCUUAUUCUAAACGUAUUGAUUUAUGUUUAUAGCCCAAAAAUCAUCCAAGAAGGCAUGGUAUAAGGAGUUUACGGCCUAGGAACAUUCUAGGGCCGUAAACCCCUAAAAUGGAGCCAAUCAUGCCUUUGAACUUGACCAUAAGCUUAGAAAUAAUUAGGGGUUAUAGCCUAGGGGUGUUUAAACACUAAAAUGCAUGGAUUUAGGACUCAAAGAAGAGUUUACGGCCCAAGCACAUGCUUAAGCCGUAAACUCCACAAGUCAUGGUCCCAAAUGUGCUCCAAACUCAUCCUAGGGCUUAUUACAUAAUUUAGGGACUUAUUCCUUUGAGUUUAGGACACUUGAACACUCCAAAAUGAAUUAAAGAAAGGAGUUUAUGGCCCAGAAAUGGUCAAGGCCGUAAACUCCCUAAAUCAUGCCCAAAAUUGUAGUUUUUGCCCCCCAAAUGACCAUAGGCUAUCUCUAUAAAAUGCUAGGAAGGAUUUAAGGGCUUAAACACAAGGAAAAUGAGGGAUUUCUUGGAGUUUACGGCCCAAGCAUUUAUCUAGGCCGUAAACUCCCCAAAACCCCCUCAAAUGUUGGUUUUAAUCACCCAAAAUGGCAUCACACUUCAUUAGAAAUCACUAGAAAGGCAUUAGGGGCUUGAAACAUCACAAAACUCAAUCAUUUAGAGUUUACGGCCGUAAACUCCUUUAGGAGUUGUUCUUAGGCCGUAAACUCCAUGUUAAGGCCCUUAGGAACCUCAAAUCCACUCAUGCCUUUGAGGAAAAGUGCUUGGAAUAAUUCUAUGAACAAGCUAGAAGCAUCAAACACCCAAGAAUGUGACCUUGGGAGUUUACGGCCGUAAACUCCCUUAGGUUGGGCCGUAAACUCCUUGUUUGGUCCAUAUUGAUGCUUUAAACCCCUUUACACACUUGAUAUUUGAGUUUAGCAAAGUUCCACAACUGAUAAGAGACCCUUAGCACCCUUAAACACUACCCAUGACCCCAAACACUCAACCAAAAGUGUUUUCCACUCCUUUGAGUGUGUAUAAUUGUUUAAUUAGUAUAUUAUAUGCUAAUUGUAUGUGAACAUAUGUUAUCAUAUGUUAAAAUAGGUCCUUGUGUGUGUUCAAGUCCUUGCGUGACCCCGAACGCCCAAACGGCACUUCCGUCGGACCUACUUACACUAGGUGAGUUCAUACCCCUGAAUGAACCUUUUAAAUGCUUUUAAAUGUUUUUAUAGGGGGGAUUACAAGUUAAACAUGCCAGUUAUCAUAUCAAUCACAUGUGAUUGAUAACCCGCAUGCACAAGAUUUUGCCACUAUACACUGUUUUUACCGAGUAGGACGCUUUAACGCUUCUUCAAUUGUUUUAAAACUCUUACUUAUACCUUUUAAACUAAAUUCAUUCUAGACUGGUUUGUGAAAGAUUUUUCCAAGAUUUUCAAGCAUAUUUUACAAAAGAAUACAAAGUGUGAAAUUUUCUGUUCGUAAAGGCUUUUCAUUAAGAUUCCUUUUUACGUAUAUUUUUAUUUGAAGUUAUUGCUGAUUUGCUUAUACUUAUUCCAUAUUCCUACUCUGUAAUGCUUCCACUUAUACUGAUAGUCGCUUAUACCUUAUGACGCUUAUACUUAUUCACGCUCUUACUUAGUGAUACGAUUCUUCUUCGCUUAUACUUGAUAACAACUCUACUUCACUUAUACUUGAUACGCUUUCGCUUCACUUAUUGUCGCCUCUACUUCAUGAUACGCUUAUACUUGUGCGACACUUCUACUUCACUUGCGAACGCUUUUACUUCACUUAUUAGGCGCUACUACUUCACAAGGAUCACUUCUACUUGAAACGCACUUAGUCAUAGUUAGAUGUAUGUCCGUGCUUAUAUAGGUAUAUAUAAGUAAUGAUUGAAAGACUUAGGAAGGCUCGUCUGCCCUAUUUCCUUUUCUUCGUUGAGAUGUGGUCUGGUGGGAUCGGGUAGCCGUCCGAAGGUCGUUUGGUUCAUUAGUUAAAUACUAUGUAUAUGAGUAUGGACAUACAGGAAAUCCUCUAGUCAAGUCAGUUAAGAAUCUCUACCUCUAUUCUACACUUACUUUAGAAACACACUACCCACUGUUUGAAAGUCUUUACCUCUAGUAUAUCACUUACAUUAGAAACCCACUCCCCUCUAGAAAAACACUAUCCUCUAUUUGGGAUGCAUCUUCGGGACGCGGCCUUCUCCGUCGUCUAGUUGGUAACCAGAGUCUCCUGUAGGGAGAGCGGACAUUAUGUGUAUAGGCCUAUACGGGAUUGACACCCCCACACCCUGACUGCUAGCUACAGUCCACGGCUCACCAAGCCAAGGGGUGACAAAUGUCACAUUAUAUAGAUGCUUGUAGGGCGUCUGGAACUCUAGUCAGUAUGGUUACGAGUAUCCUGGGUUGCCUUAUAAUUCAUGGCUUUAAGGUAACGGUAUUUCGUCAGCAAUUUACACUGUAUGCUGAUGUCACUUUUCAGAGUCACACUGUUUCGACCUUGCUAGCUGUAUCUUUCAUUUGAUACUGUCUGGGGUCUAUAGUCUCUGUUUCGACCUUGCUAGCUGUAUCUUUCAUUUGAUACUGUCUGGGGUCUAUAGUCUCUGUUUCGACCUUGCUAGCUGUAUCUUUCAUUUGAUACUGUCUGGGGUCUAUAGUCUCUGUUUCGACCUUGCUAGCUGUAUCUUUCAUUUGAUACUGUCUGGGGUCUAUAGUCUCUGUUUCGACCUUGCUAGCUGUAUCUUUCAUUUGAUACUGUCUGGGGUCUAUAGUCUCUGUUUCGACCUUGCUAGCUGUAUCUUUCAUUUGAUACUGUCUGGGGUCUAUAGUCUCUGUUUCGACCUUGCUAGCUGUAUCUUUCAUUUGAUACUGUCUGGGGUCUGUAGUCUUUGUUUUGACCCUGCGAGAUGUACUUUUCAUUUAGUAUCGUCUUCGGUCUAUAUUCACUGUUUUAGACCUUACCAGCUGUACCUUUCAUUUGGUACCUUCUGGGGUCUAUGUCUCCCCUUUGUUAGACUGAACCAGGCGUGUCGUUAAUUCGAUACCCUCCUGGAGUCUAUGAUUCUUUGCCUUAGUCAGCAGUCCUCACUGCUGAGGCAUAUGUUAUUCCCUGAUGUCUCCUGCUUUCUUUAAUAAUCAAAUUCAGUAUUUUGAUAACAAUAGCAAUUAAGGGAAAACUACCUCUUACCACAAUGCACUGAAACAGUCUUGGUAGAAGGCUGCUUUAUUUAAAGAAAAUAUAGGAUUUUCUGGAAAGAACACUGAAGCACUGAAAACACUUAAACUACUACUUAUUAAAGUUAUUUGACUAAAUGACACUAAAUACUUAUGAACUCACCAGCAUUUGUAAAAAUGCUGAUACUCGCUUUUCAAAUAACUUGUAAUCUCAGGUCAGCAAUUAGACAGGUACAUCCCCGGAGCUGCUGAUGAAGAUGGCUUAAGUACCUUGCUGCACUUUAUAUAUGUUGCUUGUAUUACUUUGAUACUAUGUAAUGUAACCAUGUAAAAUUAUUACUAUUAAUGCAAUGUUUUGUUGUACUUUGAUUACUAUAUGCAUGUGUUGUGAUACUUGACAUGACGUCAUCCACCCCAGAACGUUUCCGCCGUUCCGGUUUUGGGGUGUGACAGAUUGGUAUCAGAGCAUUGUUUAUAGUGAGCUAAGUAUAUCAAUUCAUAAAAGAUAUACAGCCUAUAAAUACAAUGGGAUAAAACACUCUGACCAAGAAUUAUACUUUAAAAUAUAACCAUAUUUUACCAAAGUAUAAUAACAUCCAGAAUCUAAACACUCGAACAAAAGUAUCACAAGAAGAACAAUAAUAAAAGUCUUCGGAUGUUGAGCACUACAGUCAAACCUGGGCAGUUAUGUAAUCGUAAGCUGGGAUAAAUGUAACCUGAUCAACUACAUUUAUCCGAGAUGCGAUGAACGUGUGCUCGGGAGUGAUAGUGGUGUGCAGCAGAUCUGAAACUUACCAAAUAGGAAUUCUAGAGCCAAACAUAAAGUUAAAAUACUAUAGGAGUAUUUUAGAACGCUAAAAGAUCCACACUAAUCCCAGAAUCAUAAUCAGAAGAUAAGACUCAAACAAGAGUUAAAAUACCAUAUGAGUAUUUUAGAAUACAUAAGCAACCUUGCGUGAAUAACUAAAAAGAUCCUUAUUGAUAUACCUACAACUACAGAGGGUGUACUUCCAAGGUUAUAUAUAAUAAGGACCCCAUAGGCUGAGAAUGUGUGGUUUCUCUCUAUUUCCUUUUCCUCGUUGAGAUGUGGUUCUGGAGUAGUAUCACAUAUUCGAAGGACUAUCGGAUCUAAGCUAUAUAUGAUUUGUAUACCCUGUGUAAUCGUAGCAGGACUCGAUAUGGAUCAUACAGUGAAAUGUUAAUAAUCCCUUAGGAUUCUUUAGACAUUUCCAUUCUCGCGCGAACCCUGUAGAAAACCCUACCCACUUCAGUGCUUGACAAAAGAGUUGAUUCCGACCCUGAGGAGAUUCAUUGAGAAGAUUUCCUGUUCGGAAAUGAAUAAACUGGGUCGAGACUAUUGAAUGCACCCAGUGCCCAUAUUCUCUUAGGGACAGUGGUGAGAGAUUCGCCUAAACUUCGGAGAUUCCCAGUCAUCCAACAUGAAGUGAUGACACCCACAGUGGGAAUCAGAAGGAAGGCGGGAUAGAAAUUCGAUAUGUCCAUACGAGAAGAGAACCCUAGGAAACUACCCGAAGGAAGCCAACGUCGAUUCCAGUCAAAGAUACGAGGCAGACCGAGGGAGCUAGUGCAUGGGAAACCGGGAAUUGUCUUUUCCUCGUAUUCGUCACGAUAAUUCACCCUUAAAAUGAUGCAGUUUAGUGAGUUAGUGGUUACACUACUCACGCUAUGUGUUAGGUAAAUCGUCGUUUCCCGUUGCCAGAUACACGAUUAGGGCGGAUCCCCGCAUCUCUAUUGAGAAAAUUUUAGCUAUCUGCCCUUGUGAACCUCUCUUUCCAUGGUUUCGUUCCGAACCGUUCUCAAAUCUCUCCAGGCCGGAGAGUGAAACCUUUCCUCGGUAUACAGGUAACUUAGUAGGAACGACUCGCAUCUUAUGGCCUUUUUCCGAUACUCAUACUCCUACUUCGAUUACCAGGACUACAUCAUAGGGAUGUAGGUCGACACUCAGACAACCAGUACCCGAGGCACGGGAGAAAUUUAUGCCUAAUACGUUCAGGACAGAAAUGUCCAGGGUUAACCAUCGUCUCUCAUUACCUUGUAUUCCUUUCCGUGUAGGAAAAACCAUGCCACCGAAGAAGCGUAACCAAUCCGCAAGCAAGAAACCUGCCCUCUUAUUCGAUGAAGCUACGUUCCAAGCUGCAGUCUCAGCAGCCGUAGCAGCUGUCAUGGCUCACCUGAAUGCUAACAAUGCCAAUGUUAGCAAGGGCCCUGUCGGGAUUUCCAAUCCUGGCAAUGGACGGCAACAACCCACUCUUCCACACUCAGCCACCCAAGAACCUCCACCGAACCCACUAAAGAGAAAACUCAAGGUGGAGGAGGGAAGUACCUCGGCUCCAGGACCUUCUGAAGGGCAACGAGUUGAGGUAGUCUAUACCCCUGUGAAUCCUUCCUUCCCGACCUCAAGAAGACCAUACCUAGGAGACGUUCCCCACUGCAGCAAGUGCAGCUACCAUCAUUAUGGUACCUGCCGGGAACUCUAUUGUGCUAGGUGCCACAUGCUGGGGCAUACUGCUCGUGUCUGCAGAACCCCGGUUGAGUUCAUUACACCAACCACCAAUGUGGCGACCCGUAUAGUUUGCCACCUAUGUGGUAAAAUGGGACACUUUAAGAGGGACUGCCCAACCGAAGAGAAAGACAAAUACAUAGAAGGAGCCUGACACUACUGCUUAGGGAGAAGCAGCAAGGAAACUCGUUAGAUUUUGGUACGUCUCUUGAUCUCGGAUAACUAAGCUAAGAACAAUAAAAGACUAAUUCAAAUAUAAAUUCUUUCCAGUAAGGCGAAAGUCGCAGCACUGUUAUAAAAUUUAGAAUUCAUUAGGUAAAACUAUGAUGGCUAAACAUAUACGUUACGACCAUAUAUAUUUGAGAUGGACAGACCUAGAGUGAGCGAAUGCCGCCUCAUUUCCUGUUCCUCGUUUGGUUGUGGAUUUAGGGCGGAGUCGCUCAGUCAACAGUCCUCCCCACCUUAAAUAUACAUGACUAGUAUAUAGGAGGCGAUUAUAGAAACGCCUCGUGAGAAUCCAUUCAUGAAAAGAUAUUCUAUUCGGAAGCACUUAGAACUCUCUAUAGUUCCGCGUCGACUCUAUCGGUCCAAGUAUCCGCGGUAGCGAUGUAUAGGACGAAACUCGAGACGCCCAGAACUUGUGUGCCUGUUCGGCACAUGACUCUAUCGAUCUUCAUUAUACAUCAUGUCGGAGUGUGUCAACUUUGACGACUCUAUUGAGCAUGGUUUGACUUCGUGCAACCGUGUGUACGCCCUUAGUGCUGUGCAAAGAGAACUUUCUCCAAAGCCCUGUCGGCAAAUAAAGGUUCUCCCGAACCCGAACCUAAACACAAAUAAUCACAUCUAAUGCAAUCCGUCAAUCGUCCCUCUUAUCUCAAACCUUCCGAAGUACCCAAGUGAGAGUACCCCGCGCGAUGGACCGACCCCUCAUAGUCAGAUGAGCACCGAAGCGAAGGACACUGCAGAUACUUUAAAAGACGAAGACCAACCGGAGCACACUCUUAAGAAUUCCCUGGGAAAUCCGUCGCACCUCGCACAUCAGGUUCGUGAACCCAGAGAAUAGAACUCAUGAGGCUGACCACUAUAACCAGGUAUAUUGCUGGCAUCCAUCAAGUAUUGAUGGUUAAGCCAAGCAUGAGCUCUAACACGAACCUCUUCGCAAAAAACUUUCACCCUAAUCGAUAACAUAGGGGCCGAAAUCAAGAGAACUACUACGGAUCGAGCUAGUAAAGUCCCGAGUGACGAAGACCCUAUACCCACUAGAUUUGACUUAGGCCGAGAAAACUUAGAACCUUCGGAAGAGUAGUUGCAAUUGAUGCUCUGGCUACUCAGGCACCUUGCCCACCCAGUUAUAGACAUGUAGUGCUUAUCAUCCUCCACCCUCUCGCUAGGAGGAAAUCGUCGUCGCCCUGUAGACAAUGAAUUAUAUUUUCCGAGGUAAACACUAGGAUACCGAGAACCACAGGGUAACCUUCGCAGCCAAGAAUACUUGGUCAAGUGCGAAGGUAAUUGCGUUAAAUCUCAUGACCCGGAUCCCGAAAAGAUUAUGGACUCGACACCAGCUUUGGUGUUAGUCGAGGGAUUAUGCAGGAGCACGCACUUUCCACGCUAGAAUAAACCACAGUCGUAGAGAUUCCUUGGACUAAUAGGUGUUCCCCGAAUACUAUCUCAAAGCAGAGCUAGUAGAACCACCUCCCGAGAUAGUCCAACACUUGUCUGGUGAGGCCCUGUCUCCCCGAUUCUCAGGGUUUCCGUAUCUUAAGCGUCGUUAGUGCAGGUCCAUUUUGCACAAGCUUGGGAUAGACACUCUAUAGCAAACCGAUGGCCAUAGUCGCGCAACCCACUUGACGAUCUAGGAAGUCUCUAUCAGCCAGUUGACAGAAAACACAAAACUGAAGACCACUUGAGAUUCCUAAGAACCAACCCGAAGGACUACACUACCCGUACGAGAGAGAACGUUAGGAACUUCGGAAUGGCGAUCACGCCAGUGAUGAUCUUGCCAUAGAAGUACACUAUGUUCUAAGUACUGAAAAGCUCUACCCUUCCGAGAGCUUAGGACCAUAUGAGAAUCCCCAUGGAGACUUGGUCCAACCCUUUUCAGGCUGCCCCUACCUUCGGAUAUGCCACAAGAUUCACACCCGAUCGAUCCUCUUCUUAGGCUUGAUACGUGACUUCCCGACAAAACUCUUCAUGCCUAAAUUAUCUUGAUAGAAUCCAUUGAGAACCCUGACUUCAUAGAUACACCAGUCGGAACCCGCUAGCAACACUAGGUGGAAUUCGCAUCCCGUAUGUGAAGGUCUGUGAGAAGGCAAACACAGACUAGAGAUCACUUGGGAAUGUGAGGGCAACCGUAUAGGAAGUACUCCCUUACCUCUACUCGGCAAUUCAUACCUACUUCCUUGCCUAGACUUGAAUUUCGGGACGAAAUUCCCUCUAACGGGGGGAUGAUGUGACAACCCAAGUUGUCCCGUUACAUUUCCCCGUUACCGUUAACGGAAUAUUCCACUGUAUAAAAGUUCCGUUAAUUAGAGGGCGUCAAUUUAAUAAUAAACAUUCCAUUGGGUUACAUUUAGCAUGCCGUUAAGUCGUGAUGAAAGGAAAUAAAACACAGGACACACAUUUCCACUCAUUUGGAAAAUGUCAAGUAUUAAUAUUACGACCACUAAAUCGGGUGCGACCAAAAGCCCCGUUUAACGGCAGUAUCGGGUAAAAUUCCACUGAGCCUCGACUGUGAAACCUAUAUAUGGGUGAGUGGAGUCCAUUGGAGACUAUUUACUCUCUCUAUCUAAACUCUCUCUCUAGACCCGUUUUCGCCCCGAAUUCGUAACCAAACGCUUCCAAAUUGUAAGUCCGCUUACCCUAACUUAUUCUAAGCGUAUUGAUUUAUGUUUAUAGCCCAAAAAUCAUCCAAGAAGGCAUAAGAUAAGGAGUUUACGGCCCAGGAACAUUCUAGGGCCGUAAACCCCUAAAAAGGUGUUAAAAAUGCCUUUAAACUUGACCAUGAGCUUAGAAACUAUUAGGGGAUAUAGCCUAGGGGUGUUUAAACACUAAAAUGCAUGGAUUUAGGACUCAAAGAAGAGUUUACGGCCCAAGCACAUGCUUAGGCCGUAAACUCCACAAGUUAGGGUCCCAAAUGUGCACCAAACUCAUCCUAGGGCUUAUUACAUAUUUUAGGGACUUAUUCCUUUGAGUUUAGGACACUAGAACACUCCAAAAUGAAUUAAAGAAAGGAGUUUACGGCCCAUGAAUAGUCAAGGCCGUAAACUCCCUAAAAUCAUGCCCAAAAGUGUGAUUUUGCCCCCCUAAUGGCCUUAGACAUUUACCAUAAAAUGCUAGAAUGGAAUUAAAGGCUUAAACACAAGAAAAAUGAGACAUUUCUUGGAGUUUACGGCCCAAGCAUUUUCUAGGCCGUAAACUCCCCUAAAACCCCCUCAAAUGUUGGUUUUAAUCCUCCAAAAUAGCAUCACACUUCAUUAGAAAUCACUAGAAAGGCAUUAGGGGCUUGAAACAUCACCAAACUCAAUGAUUUAGAGUUUACGGCCGUAAACUCCUUUAGGAGUUGUUCUUAGGCCGUAAACUCCAUUAUAAGGCCCUUAGGAACCUCAAAUCCAAUCAUGCCUUUGAUGAAAAGUGCUUAGAAUAAAUCAAGGAACAAGCUAGAAGCAUCAAAACCCCAAGAAUAUGACCUUGGGAGUUUACGGCCGUAAACUCCCUUAGGUUGGGCCGUAAACUCCUUGUUUGGUCCAUAUUGAUGCUUUAAACCCCUUUACACCCUUGAUACUUGAGCAUAGCAAAGUCCCACAGCUGAUAGGAGACCCUUAGCACCCUUAAACGCUACCCGGGACCCCAAACACUCAACCAAAAGUGUUUUCCACUCCUUUGAGUGUGUAUAAUUGUUUUAUUAGUAUAUUAUAUGCUAAUUGUAUGUGAACAUAUGUUAUCAUAUGUUAAAAUAGGUCCUUGUGUGUGUUCAAGUCCUUGCGUGACCCCGAACGCCUAAACGGCACUACCGUCGGACCUACUUAUACCAGGUGAGUUCAUACCCCUGAAUGAACCUUUUUAAUGCUUUUAAAUGUUUUCAAUGGGGGGGAUUACAAGUUAAACAUGCCAGUUAUCAUAUCAAUCACAUGUGAUUGAUAACCCGCAUGCACAAGAUUUUACCACUGUACACUGUUUUACCGAGUAGGACACUAUAAAUGGCUUUCAAAAAGGGUUUUUAAAUUGUUCAAGUUCUUACUUUCAUAGCUUAUCAAAGAUUCAUUUUCAACUGAUUUAUAAAAGAUUCUCAAAGAUUUCUAAAGGUUUUCACACUUAUUUUAUCAAAGAAUACAAAUGCGAUUUUCCGGAGUAAUAAAGUCUUCAAGGGUUUUCAUGAAUACUUUUAAUUGUUAGAUACCGCUGCUUCGCUUAUACCUAUUUUAUACUCCUACUCUGUAAUGCUUUCGCUUAUACCUGAAGUCACUUAUACCUGAUAACGCUUAUACUUAUUUACCCUCUUACUUAGUGAUACGAUUCUACUUCGCUUAUACUUGAGAUCGACUUUACUUCACUUAUACUUGAUACGUUCUUACUUCACCUAUUGUCAUCUCCACUUCACGAUGCGCUUAUACUUAUUCGACACUUAUACUUCACUUGCGACCGCUCUUACUUCACUUGUUAGACACUCCUACUUCACGAGAAUCACUUUCACUUGAUACCCACUUAGUCAUAGUUAGAUGUAUGUCCGUACUUAUAUAGGUAUAUAUAAGUAAUGACUGAAAGACUUAGGAAGGCUCAUCGGCCCUAUUUCCUUUUCUUCGUUGAGAUGUGGUCUGGUGGGAUCGGGUAGCCGUCCGAAGGUCGUUUGGUCCAUUAGUUAAAUACUAUGUAUAUGGGUAUGGACAUAUAGGGAAUUCUCUAGUCAAGUCAAUUAAGAGUCUCUUCAUCUAUUCUACACUUACUUUAGAAACACACUACCCACUGUUUGGAAGUCUCUACCUCUAGUAUAUCAUUUGUAUUAGAAACCCACUCCCCUCAAGAAACACACUAUUCUCUAUUUGGGAUGCAUCUUCGGGACGCGGCCUUCUCCGUCGUCUAGUUGGUAACCAGAGUCUCCUGUAGGGAGAGCGGACAUUGUGUGUAUAGGCCUAUACGGGAUUGACAACCCCGCACCCUGACUGCUAGCUACAGUCCACGGCCCACCAAGCCAAGGGGUGACAAAUGUCAUAUUAUAUAGAUGCUUGUAGGGCGUCUGGAACUCUAGUCAGUAUGGUUACGAGUAUCCUGGGUUGCCUUAUAAUUCAUGGCUUUAAGGUAACGGUAUUUUCGUCAGCAAUUUACACUGUAUGCUGAUGUCACUUUUCAGAGUCACUCUGUUUCGACCUUGCUAGCUGUAUCUUUCAUUUGAUAUUGUCUGGGGUCUAUAGUCUCUGUUUCGACCUUGCUAGCUGUAUCUUUCAUUUGAUACUGUCUGGGGUCUAUAGUCUCUGUUUCGACCUUGCUAGAUGUAUCUUUCAUUUGAUACUGUCUGGGGUCUAUAGUCUCUGUUUCGACCUUGCUAGCUGUAUCUUUCAUUUGAUACUGUCUGGGGUCUAUAGUCUCUGUUUCGACCUUGCUAGCUGUAUCUUUCAUUUGAU
Molecule: long non-coding RNA, 11525 nt
Filed under: Lactuca sativa (garden lettuce)
Lineage: Eukaryota; Viridiplantae; Streptophyta; Magnoliopsida; Asterales; Asteraceae
Description: long non-coding RNA (LSAT_LNC005581)
Source: RNAcentral